Molecule: long non-coding RNA, 1163 nt
Organism: Cucurbita maxima (winter squash)
Lineage: Eukaryota; Viridiplantae; Streptophyta; Magnoliopsida; Cucurbitales; Cucurbitaceae
Exons: 3
Source: RefSeq, a predicted model, not a curated record
UUUAUCCCUUUCUGAAGAUCGGUUGAUGAAAUUUUCUCCUUCAGUUUUUGUGAGCUCAGGCGAUUCCACUCGAAAUGGCGAUCCUCGAAGAAGACCAGUUGGCUUCAUUGACCACAGAUCGCAUCAUUCCAGCUUCUCGUCUUCUAGAAAACGAGAUUCGGAUCUUCAAGGAAGAGAUGCAAAGGACGAAUUUGGAGUGGGAUUUUUUCAAGGAAAAAAGUAAACGAGGACCAGGAGAAGAUUAAACUUAAUAAACAGCUACCUUAUUUGGUCGGGAAUAUAAUUCUGGAAAUGAACCCAGAAGAUGAAGCUGAAGAGAUGGUGCAAAUAUUGAUCUUGACUCGCAAAGCAAUUGAAAAUGUGUUGCGUUAAGCGCACCUACUCGCCAGGUGAGUUAUUAUUCUGCUUUUAUAGAUAACCUUAUAGCUAUCAGAGAAAUAGCAAUGAAACUCUAGUGAAUUCUAUUGCUCUAUUUCCCAAUGUAGUGGUGCUUUACUUCUUUAGGGAUCAGGUUAUGUAUGCCAUUUUGUACAUAUUCAAACAGGUAUGGAUAUUUUGCGGGUUCCUUUCUUCAGAGAUCCAACUUUUUUCUAUUUAAACAUGUGAUGGUCUGGUUACCUGGUUUUUAUGAUUUGCAUAAUGUUGUUAUGGUAUAGCACUAUCACUCAGUAUUAGACUAAGAUUAGUUGGUUACAGUUUAAAAUCUAACUUCUUUAUUGUGAAAAUGUCAUACUUGAUUCAAUUUAUGGCUCAUGCUUUUUUUAACUAGAUAAGAGUUCUGAUUCGUUCUAUUCAUUUAAGCUCUGGACCAUGUGAAAUCCCAGCAUGUUUUGUUUUGACUGCAGACAAUCUUUUUACCUGUUGUUGGGAUUGUUGAUUCCAACAAAUUAAAACCUGGUGAUUUAGUUGACAGUUACCUGAUCUUGGACACUCUACCAUCUGGGUACGAUUCUAGACAGGCAAUGGACGUUGAUGAAAAACAUUAGAGGGUUGGAGAAGCAGGCAAGUCUCUAGCUUUCUCUAGGCAUGCCUUAUAUGAACAAUGAACAUGCAUUUGUUUUGGUCACAUAAUUGAGCAUUGAUCUACCCAUUUAUCAUACAAUUCCACACAUCUUUUUAUGCAUAACUUUAAUUUUAGACCAUAAAAUUCAAUUUCAGUGAUU